RNAcentral lists this long non-coding RNA (427 nucleotides) under Brassica rapa (field mustard). RNAcentral's name for it is "long non-coding RNA (BRAP_LNC001485)". The record is from RNAcentral. Lineage: Eukaryota; Viridiplantae; Streptophyta; Magnoliopsida; Brassicales; Brassicaceae.
AAAUUCUCUCAAAUAGACAUUUUUAAGUUUUUGUCACCAAAAUAGACCUCAAAAACUAAAAUGACAAAAAUAGUAUUACUUUUUUUUGAAAAUUUUAAAUUUUUUUAUUUUUUUUAAAUUUGAAAUCAUAUCCCCUAAACUCCACUCCUCAACUCUAAAUCUCAAACCCGAAAUCCUAAACCUCACCCCUUAACUCUAAACCCUAAUGUCUAGAUUAAUUAACUUUAGGAGUAUAAGUGUAUUUUUUUUUGAUAAAACAUUUAAGUCUAUUUUGGUUAUUUUUAUUUUAAAAUUUUAUAUUUGUGACAGAAACUUUUUUAGGUAUAUCCUAGGAAAUUUCUCUUAGUUUUAGGCUCAACUUUUAUAAUUGUAUUAACAGUAAUUAAAAUUCUAAUGGAACAAAAAAUUUAGACAAAAUCUUAAUGGG